Molecule: long non-coding RNA, 968 nt
Filed under: Rattus norvegicus (Norway rat)
Lineage: Eukaryota; Metazoa; Chordata; Mammalia; Rodentia; Muridae
Description: long non-coding RNA NONRATT034015
Source: RNAcentral
GAACUUUGUAAGUGACUUGUCCACAGCACACUAUUUGUAAAAGAAACUCUAUUAUUUUCCCUUUUGGUUUUAAGUCUAUGAAACCAUGUUUGCCAAGAGAGAAGACUGGCAAGGAUUAGAAAGAAGUGAGCUGCUGAAGUACUUCAACGACUGUGGUCAUUUCCCCACGCAGAAGCAGAUCGAUGAGCUCUGGGACCUGUUCCACAGAUAUAGUGAAGGAAAAUAUUCUGAAGUAAUCAGAAAGUCCAGUGCUAUUGAACUAUUAUUUACACUCUAUCCUCCUCAAGGUGCCAGAGUGAACGCUGGCACAAGACUGCGGUCCACGUGGCUGAGACCCUUGGUGGAUGGGGAAGAAGGCUAUAAGUACAUAGUGACUGGACAUCCAAUACUCAAGAGAGCUAACAUCCGGACUGUUGGGAAGUUGGUGGCUAGAUCCAUAAGAGAAAGAAAAAUGAGACAAUUUUAUAAAUCAUGAGAACUGGAAUAAAAUUUUCAACACAGUGCUUCAUUAAAUAGUUGAACUUACCUCCUCAGAAAAGCAUAUUAGUAAUGAACGCAGAAUGACUUGCUAUCAACAGGAUAAAAGGAGGAAUCUUUGCAUAUGCGAAAGGGGCUGUUGACAAGUUAGUUCCUCAUUUCUAAGUAAGUUUGGAUGAGCGGUCUUUAUCGUCCUCAUUAAACAUCUGCUAAUCAUGAUGACGUGAAGCUGUGCAGUGUCACUUAUUAAUUCUCAUUGGACUGAAAUCUAUUUUGCUCCGCUGCUAACGAAGGUUACAAACUUGAGAAUUCUUAGCUUCCAUUUUUACUCUUUCAAAAUUGUAUCGGUGUGGUAUUUUGCUGAAACAACACAUUUCAAAUAGUCUGUCAGAAUGUGUCUCAUCACUUAAGUCUUUUGAAUUGUUUCUGAAAACGUGUCUAGAUCACAGACCACUUUUUUGUUUGUUUGUUUGUUUGUUUCUCUCCUUGAC